Amphimedon queenslandica is the source of this 797-nucleotide long non-coding RNA. RefSeq lists it as uncharacterized. The record is from RefSeq and is a predicted model, not a curated record. NCBI's taxonomy places the organism in Eukaryota, Metazoa, Porifera, Demospongiae, Haplosclerida, Niphatidae. The transcript is spliced from 7 exons.
GUUCCAUUCAGACAAUUUAAUCUCAUUCAUAGGUUCCUAAAAGGGGAGGAGUCACUACACCCACAAGAUGGAGUGAGUCAUGCCCACAUUGAUGAAUAUAAAACAAGCAAUCAUUUUCAUCAGCUAACAGGUACUAUUGUACAAAAUUCCAAUGCAUAAUACUUUUCGAAACAAUAAAGAGACACUCUGGCUGAGCUAAUGACUGAGAACAGCUGGUUAAUGCCCAUAGAACAAGAUGCUCUUGAGUUUUAGACAUACUCUUCUACCUAUGUCUAUGAGACUGCAAAGAUCAUUUAUAAUAGUUCCAGUGGCCACUCGUACCAUCCACCAGUGACCACUCUAUCACCAGUGAACAGCACAGGGAAUGUACUGGACAUGUACCCGGAGACAUAUGGAAGAGUGUUAAUUUAUGGUAGUGCAGGAGGUGUGUCUCUUAAUUGAUUAGAUCAAUGUUCCCUCCCACUCAAUGCACUGGAGACUGGAACUGAGACAUAGUGUCAUUCUUCCUUAGGAAUAGAGAAAUAUGUGCUGUGUCACGUCAUCAUGUUCAAAGAAUGAAAUUGAAAGAUGCCUCAAACUUUUUGGUCAGGCAGCAAACCCAGCAAUGAAUACUGUAUCAACUACUAAAGCAUGAUUAGUGAGUAUAUUGAGGAAGUAUAGGUUUGAAAGCGGAUCAUCUGAUACUGAGAUAUACAAUUAAAAAGGAAACAAGGUUUUACUCAGUCUCCAAAAGAUUGUUUUUCUAAGAAUGACUCCCUAAUAAAAUCAGUUGGAAUUAAAUUUUAUUAUUAUUUUCG